ACCACAUGAUCACUUAAAGGCACUUGUCAGUUUUUCCUAUUCAUAAAUGGUGGCUUCUGUCAUGAAUUAAAAAUUAUUCAAUUAUGCAAAGCUAAAAAAUAUAAAUGUGAUUGUAGAUAAAUGUACCCUGAUGCUUCCUUUGCAUCCGUUACUGAUAUUUGUAGCUUUACCAUCUCCGGGAUUAUUCAGAUGAGCAACAAAUAAGAAUUGGAGUUGAUGUGACUAGGGUUAAAAUUCAUUAUCAUAGUUGGUAGAUCUUAGGAAAGUGUAGGA
Molecule: long non-coding RNA, 273 nt
Filed under: Elaeis guineensis (African oil palm)
Lineage: Eukaryota; Viridiplantae; Streptophyta; Magnoliopsida; Arecales; Arecaceae
Description: long non-coding RNA (EGUI_LNC072003)
Source: RNAcentral